GAUGAACGCUGGCUCCAGGCUUAACACAUGCGAGUCGAGGGGAAACGACGGGGAAGCUUGCUUCCCCGGGCGUCGACCGGCGCACGGGUGAGUAACGCGUAUCCAACCUGCCUCUGACUGAGGGAUAACCCGUCGAAAGUCGGCCUAAUACCUCAUGGUAUCGUCUGCGGGCAUCCAACGACGAUUAAAGAUUUCAUCGGUCAGGGAUGGGGAUGCGUCUGAUUAGCUUGUUGGCGGGGUAACGGCCCACCAAGGCUACGAUCAGUAGGGGUUCUGAGAGGAAGGUCCCCCACAUUGGAACUGAGACACGGUCCAAACUCCUACGGGAGGCAGCAGUGAGGAAUAUUGGUCAAUGGGCGAGAGCCUGAACCAGCCAAGUAGCGCGCAGGAAGACGGCCCUAUGGGUUGUAAACUGCUUUUAUGCGGGGAUAAAGUGAGGGACGUGUCCCUCAUUGCAGGUACCGCAUGAAUAAGGACCGGCUAAUUCCGUG
RNAcentral lists this ribosomal RNA (491 nucleotides) under uncultured bacterium. Its description in RNAcentral is "partial 16S ribosomal RNA". It matches the Rfam family "Bacterial small subunit ribosomal RNA", at positions 28 to 507 of the family's 1533-position model. The record is from RNAcentral.